GUGACUCUGUUCAACGGCCGCGGUAUCCUAACCGUGCGAAGGUAGCGUAAUCACUUGUUCUUUAAAUGAGGACUAGUAUGAACGGCACCACGAGGGUUAAGCUGUCUCCCUUUUCUAAUCAGUGAAACUAAUUUCCCCGUGAAGAAGCGGGGAUAAAUCUAUAAGACGAGAAGACCCUAUGGAGCUUCAAACACACAACAAAUGCCCCGCCUCUUGUUAAUCUCCGGAAAACCAUUAACCCGGGCACUUUGACUUCAAGUUUUAGGUUGGGGUGACCGCGGAGUAUAAAAUAUCCUCCACAGCGAACGGGACCUAAUCCCUAAGCUCAGGGCUACAACCCCAGGAAUCAAUAAAUUGACACCCAUUGACCCA
This 372-nucleotide ribosomal RNA is filed under the name Leptodactylus sp. 215mc. Its description in RNAcentral is "partial 16S ribosomal RNA". It matches the Rfam family "Bacterial large subunit ribosomal RNA", at positions 1914 to 2422 of the family's 2925-position model. The record is from RNAcentral. Lineage: Eukaryota; Metazoa; Chordata; Amphibia; Anura; Leptodactylidae.